GAUGAACGCUGGCGGCGUGCCUAAUACAUGCAAGUCGAGCGAACAGACGAGGAGCUUGCUCCUCUGACGUUAGCGGCGGACGGGUGAGUAACACGUGGAUAACCUACCUAUAAGACUGGGAUAACUUCGGGAAACCGGAGCUAAUACCGGAUAAUAUAUUGAACCGCAUGGUUCAAUAGUGAAAGACGGUUUUGCUGUCACUUAUAGAGGGAUCCGCGCCGCAUUAGCUAGUUGGUAAGGUAACGGCUUACCAAGGCAACGAUGCGUAGCCGACCUGAGAGGGUGGUCGGCCACACUGGAGCUGAGACACGGUCCAGACUCCUACGGGAGGCAGCAGUAGGGAAUCUUACGCAAUGGGCGAAAGCCUGACGGAGCAACGCCGCGUGAGUGAUGAAGGUCUUCGGAUCGUAAAACUCUGUUAUUAGGGAAGAACAAAUGUGUAAGUAACUAUGCACGUCUUGACGGUACCUAAUCAGAAAGCCACGGCUAACUACGUG
RNAcentral lists this ribosomal RNA (497 nucleotides) under uncultured bacterium. RNAcentral describes it as "partial 16S ribosomal RNA". It matches the Rfam family "Bacterial small subunit ribosomal RNA", at positions 28 to 507 of the family's 1533-position model. The record is from RNAcentral.